UGCGGGGUGGAGCAGUGGUAGCUCGUCGGGCUCAUAACCCGAAGGUCGUAGGUUCGAAUCCUGCCCCCGCUA
This 72-nucleotide transfer RNA is filed under the name bacterium. Its description in RNAcentral is "tRNA-Met". It matches the Rfam family "tRNA". Rfam says of the family: Transfer RNA (tRNA) molecules are approximately 80 nucleotides in length. Their secondary structure includes four short double-helical elements and three loops (D, anti-codon, and T loops). RNAcentral also lists the same sequence under 3 other names. The record is from RNAcentral.